AUCCAGCUGACGAGUCACAAAUAGGACGAAACACGCGUCCUGGAU
Molecule: non-coding RNA, 45 nt
Organism: Schistosoma rodhaini
Lineage: Eukaryota; Metazoa; Platyhelminthes; Trematoda; Strigeidida; Schistosomatidae
Source: Rfam